Solanum dulcamara is the source of this 585-nucleotide long non-coding RNA. RefSeq lists it as uncharacterized. The transcript is spliced from 3 exons. NCBI's taxonomy places the organism in Eukaryota, Viridiplantae, Streptophyta, Magnoliopsida, Solanales, Solanaceae. The record is from RefSeq and is a predicted model, not a curated record.
UAAAGAACCCUAAACUUCAUCCUCUUCUCUCUCAAAUAAUCCCCUCCAAUUUUUCUAUCAAACUCAAGGAUUCAAGGCCCCUAAUUGAAGACCAAGAAUUCUCCAAAUCUUCUUCAAGUUCCUCCCUAAGGAACCGACGUCGCUCCUCGAUCUCCUCCACAUGGCUAACUCGUAUUUGUUUGAAGAUUUGCUUGUGACUUAUAACUCCGAAGUUAAGAGCGACUUGCUUCCUUGCUCUGGGCCUUUAAUAGACAGUGAAAAGCUUUACGGAGGCAAGCAAUUUGACAUCGUCUUGUAGGAUGAUGAAAGGCUAUUUCAAUGACGGAAAUAAUUGAAAACUCAAGAGGGGCGUUCUUGCAAAAGCGUUUGUCGUGCUUGUGUUGUGGGAGAUGCCGCCUUAGGGUCUUGCAUACUUCACGCCCAAAAGAACCACUCACUAGCUAGCUGGACUAGUGAGGGCCCUAUUUAAAGAUAUACUAAAAUAUUAUGCCUUUUGAAUCGAACGCAACGAGCGUCUUCCAUAUAAUAAAAAGGGGCUUAUAAGGUCAUGUCUGUACCAGUGAGUUGGAUUUGACUGAACAUUGA